Poecilia latipinna (sailfin molly) is the source of this 740-nucleotide long non-coding RNA. RefSeq lists it as uncharacterized. The record is from RefSeq and is a predicted model, not a curated record. NCBI's taxonomy places the organism in Eukaryota, Metazoa, Chordata, Actinopteri, Cyprinodontiformes, Poeciliidae. The transcript is spliced from 3 exons.
UCCGUCCUUAGACAGGACGAAGUUCACCAGGCCCUGGGACUCACCUGGAGACACAGGGAGAGGACAGCGUUAGGUCACCUGCUCUGCUCUCCGAUUGGCCGGCAGGUCAGACCAGCCCAGUGAGACUUCCUGAGCAACAACCAGAGAGUUAUUUAAAUCAUCAUCAUCACCUUCAAAAACAAAGGAAAACGUGACGAGAAUUGAGUUUUACACCCCAAACAGCUGGCUACCAUGACAACAAACACAGAGAUCGUGGUUCUAACCCACUGGACCGGUCCGUUAGCUGAUUCAACGAUCCACUUUUUGACUCCUGAUCCAGUCGGAGCAACUCAGAGGCGCCCCCUGCUGUCCAAUGGGUGCUGGAGUUAGUCACCAGCUGCCUUUAAGGAUAAGCAGCUAAAGACGAUGGAUGGGUCCUCUGGUGCUGACCGUCUGCUUGGACUGGACCGACAGAACCAAAGAACCCGGUGGGUCCGGUUCCUAUAGCAGCAUCAGGCUCGUUUCCCUCAUCAUUUAACUGAAGGAAGAAAACCUGAGCUCCAUCUUCUGAACAUCUAGACGAUCUGGUCUGAAACAUUUCCACUGGAGUUUAACUUUCAGGUUUUAAAUCUUUUUAAGAAUCAUAACAGGCUUGAUGGAGCCUCUGAGAGACGAGACAGAAAACGAUGAAGGGCAGGAAACCGCCGCCAUGAAAGAAGAGCUCUGAGCUUCCUGCUGCGUAAAUAAAGAUGUUUUUUAUA